Molecule: ribosomal RNA, 509 nt
Filed under: uncultured bacterium
Lineage: Bacteria
Description: bacterial SSU rRNA
Rfam family: Bacterial small subunit ribosomal RNA
Source: RNAcentral
AGAGUUUGAUCCUGGCUCAGGACGAACGCUGGCGGCGUGCCUUACCCAUGCAAGUCGGACGGCGGAGCAAUCCGCAGUGGCAGACGGCUGAGUAACACGUGAGGACCUGUCCAGUUGAGGGGGAUAGCCGCUCGAAAGAGCGGGUAAUACCGCGUAAGCAGAGGGGGCGUAGGGCUCUCUCUGGAAAGCAGGGCAACCUGCGCGACUGGAGGGACUCGCGGCCCAUCAGGUAGUAGGUGGGGUGAAGGCCCACCUAGCCGAUGACGGGUAGCUGGUCUGAGAGGAUGGCCAGCCAGACUGGGACUGAGAGACGGCCCAGACUCCUACGGGGGGCAGCAGGGGGGGAUCUUGGUCAAUGGGGGAAACCCUGAACCAGCGACGCCGCGUGAGGGAAGAAGGUCUUUGGAUCGUAAACCUCUUUUGCCAGGGAAGAAGGGAGCCGAGAGGCUUCUUGACGGUACCUGGCGAAUAAGCCCCGGCUAACUACGUGCCAGCAGCCGCGGUAAUAC